RNAcentral lists this non-coding RNA (100 nucleotides) under Viridibacillus arenosi. Its description in RNAcentral is "Guanine sequence". It matches the Rfam family "Purine riboswitch aptamer". Rfam says of the family: Riboswitches are metabolite binding domains within certain messenger RNAs that serve as precision sensors for their corresponding targets. Allosteric rearrangement of mRNA structure is mediated by ligand binding, and this results in modulation of gene expression. A class of riboswitches that selectively recognises guanine and becomes saturated at concentrations as low as 5 nM. RNAcentral also lists the same sequence under 1 other name. Lineage: Bacteria; Bacillati; Bacillota; Bacilli; Caryophanales; Caryophanaceae. The record is from RNAcentral.
UAGAAAUUAAUUGAAAUUAUAUGUAUAACCUCAAUAAUACGGCUUGAGGGUCUCUACCAGGAACCGUAAACUCCUGAUUACAGAAAAUGUCUUUUCAUUU